GUCUGGAUGCAUCUAACUAUGUACUAGAUACGCAAGUAUGCAUUUGAAGCUGCAAAAAUCCUUUGGUCAUGAAAUGACCUACAUUUGGAUUACAUGCUGAGGCAUCAGUCUAACAUGAAAUUACUCCCGUGUUUUUAUUGUAAUGGCCAAUUAAGGAUCAGCACCUCAGAAACCUCAUGUAGCAGUUUUCCAUGAAAUAAACAUCGACCUUGAAAAUGUGCCCCUUCUGAAAUCCUAAUGCUGAUGUAUUCUGAAAGGGUCAGCCCAUCACCAUGGUGCUGGCAGGAGUGAGUUGUGUUUGGCUGCUGAGAGCCGAUACAUCCUCCGUGCCAAAGAUUAGUUGUGAGCAGGGAAGUUGCUAGGGGACAGGGGUAAACACAAAUGCUCCCUGCUUUCCUUACAGUUCUGCUUCAAAGUCAUGCAGAGCGCUCAUGAAUGUGCCCAAUGCUCCUCUUCCCUCCUUUAACAACAUGUGGUACAUGGGAACUCAGCUGCUGAUUCAGCAUUUGUUUGCUGCUGGGAAGAACUUCAAGUCUCAACCGACGCUCGUAAAACAACUCGGCUCCAGUAAAUCAUACUGCCUUUUUGUGGAUGUUGAUGGUCAAUAGAAUGACAUGAGUAUACACACAGCUGAGAAACCUGAGCCCCCAGCAGAGAUUUUCUCCAUCUGCACAUUGUUGUACUUGAGCUCCUUGUCCUCUCCUCUGGCUGUGAUUGAGGAACAACCUAACAACAUGGUUAAGGACUUUCGUGAAUUAGUGCCUAGAUUCCUGCGUUUAUGCAGUUAAAUUUUUGGAUACUAGCAAGAUCUUUGCCAGUCUGUAAUCAAGUGUGCAUCAACGACAGAAAGAAUUGGGCAGGAUAGAGACCAGAAUCAUGUAUCCAGUGUUCCUUGCUCAACCUGAAUGUCUCCAGGUACUUAACAAACUAGCAAACUGCAUGCUUUGAAGGGUACAGCAAUUUAUUAUAAUAGAGGUUAAAAGCAGAACUUUGGGGGGGUGGAAGGGGAAGAAAGAGAAAAAAAAGUUUACUUCAGAUCAAUCUUAGGGAGCUAAUAGGAACACAGUUCUUGUUUUGAUUCCCUGUCUCUGGAGAACAUCAAAUUGAUAUUUAUCUCUUUCUUAGGAGAAACAGAAUUAAAAGCACCUCAAUUCAUAAAUAUCUUGCUCAAUUCUCUUCAAAGUCUCCUAAAAAUCCAGAGAGGAAGGUGUGCUCCCACUUUGCAACUGCUUCAGCAAGCCCAGGCCCCACAGUUCACCUGCAUCUUUAAGCCAUUGACGACGGCAGUUACACAGAGGGGUGACAGUUCCUGCUUCCUCUGUUUCUGGAACAGAGCCCCUUAUUCUGUUCUUUAUCAUGUUAUGACCAUUUGAUCACACGCCACUGGCCUCUGUAACCAGGCUCUUGCCUCACUUUCUUUCCACCAAUAAAGAGGUUCCUGUCACUGUGUUACUCUGCUGU
Molecule: long non-coding RNA, 1461 nt
Filed under: Coturnix japonica (Japanese quail)
Lineage: Eukaryota; Metazoa; Chordata; Aves; Galliformes; Phasianidae
Description: lncRNA (ENSCJPG00005008844.1)
Source: RNAcentral